This 509-nucleotide transfer RNA is filed under the name Fluoribacter dumoffii. RNAcentral describes it as "partial 16S-23S ribosomal RNA intergenic spacer". The stretch from base 265 to 337 matches the Rfam family "tRNA". The record is from RNAcentral. Lineage: Bacteria; Pseudomonadati; Pseudomonadota; Gammaproteobacteria; Legionellales; Legionellaceae.
AUUAUAGGCACCAAGCAAUUCAAAGUGCCCACACAGUUUGUUUUCGAAUGAUGAAUAAAUCCUAAGCUUCUGAAAGGAAGCAAAUGCUUGAUAAAGCGAGAGCGAAGCGCGAGCAUAAAGCUAACGCGAGUCGAAGCAUUUUUGCGAGGAUUUUUGUUUUAGUCGAGGCGUAGGCGCGAGUACGCGAAGGAACAUACAUUGGUAUGUGACUGAGUAAUAGAGUGCAUAAAGCGAAGAGUAAAAUAAAGAGCCGAAGUAAAAAUUGGGGUCGUAGCUCAGCUGGGAGAGCACCUGCCUUGCACGCAGGGGGUCAGGAGUUCGAUCCUCCUCGGCUCCACCAAUACUCAGGAUUAUUCAGGGUUUGUUCAGAUUAAAAUGCUUUUUUAUGAGAGUGUUUUAAUCUGGAAUAACCAGACGUUCAUUAAAAAUUUGGUAAAUAAAGAGGUAACACAAGCGUACUUGUAUUGAAACAGCAAAGCCGUAUGAUUUUGAGGUAAUUGAGAUUAUAU